AACUCCGAAUACCAACACGUGAUACACGGGAGACACACAGCGGGUGCUAACGUCCGUUGUGAAAAGGGAAACAACCCAGACCCGCAGCUAAGGUCCCCAAGUCAUAGCUAAGUGGAAAACGAUGUGGAAAGGCAUAGACAGCCAGGAGGUUGGCUUAGAAGCAGCCACCCUUUAAAGAAAGCGUAAUAGCUCACUGGUCGAGUCGGUCUGCGCGGAAGAUUUAACGGGGCUAAGCUAUGCACCGAAGCUCGGGGUGCACCUCUUUGAGAGGUGUGCGGUAGAGGAGCGUUCCGUAGGCCUGUGAAGGUGGAUUGUAAAGUCUGCUGGAGGUAUCGGAAGUGCGAAUGCUGACAUGAGUAACGAUAAGGGGGGUGAAAAGCCUCCCCGCCGAAAGCCCAAGGUUUCCUCGCGCAACGUUCAUCGGCGCAGGGUGAGUCGGCCCCUAAGGCGAGGCAGAAAUGCGUAGUCGAUGGGAAGCAGGUUAAUAUUCCUGCACUUUUCUUAAGUGCGAUGUGGGGACGGAGAAGGUUAGGUCUACCAGGCGUUGGUUGUCCUGGGGAAAGGAGGUAGGCGGUGAUCUUAGGCAAAUCCGGGAUCACUUACGCCGAGCACCGAGACGAGUCCUAUGAGGACGAAGUGACUGACACCACGCUUCCAGGAAAAGCCACUAAGCUUCAGCUUAAGAAAAACCGUACCGCAAACCGACACAGGUAGGCAGGGUGAGAAUCCCAAGGCGCUUGAGAGAACUCGGGUGAAGGAACUAGGCAAAAUGGCACCGUAACUUCGGGAGAAGGUGCGCCCUUUGGUGUGGUCACGUGCGUGACUGAGCAUUGAAGGGUCGCAGUAACCUGGCCGCUGCGACUGUUUAUCAAAAACACAGCACUCUGCAAACACGAAAGUGGACGUAUAGGGUGUGACGCCUGCCCGGUGCUGGAAGGUUAAUUGAUGGGGUCAGCCGCAAGGCGAAGCUCUUGAUCGAAGCCCCAGUAAACGGCGGCCGUAACGAUAACGGUCCUAAGGUAGCGAAAUUCCUUGUCGGGUAAGUUCCGACCUGCACGAAUGGCGUAACGACAGCGGCGCUGUCUCCACCCGAGACUCAGUGAAAUUGAAAUCGCUGUGAAGAUGCAGCGUUCCCGCGGCAAGACGGAAAGACCCCGUGAACCUUUACUAUAGCUUUACACUGAACGUUGAGUUCUUCUGUGUAGGAUAGGUGGGAGGCUAUGAAACCAGGACGCUAGUUCUGGUGGAGCCAUCCUUGAAAUACCACCCUGAAGUGCUUGACGUUCUAACCUAAAAG
Molecule: ribosomal RNA, 1297 nt
Filed under: metagenome
Description: bacterial LSU rRNA
Rfam family: Bacterial large subunit ribosomal RNA
Source: RNAcentral